This 71-nucleotide transfer RNA is filed under the name Planctomycetota bacterium. RNAcentral's name for it is "Planctomycetes bacterium (activated sludge metagenome) tRNA-Met". It matches the Rfam family "tRNA". Rfam says of the family: Transfer RNA (tRNA) molecules are approximately 80 nucleotides in length. Lineage: Bacteria; Pseudomonadati; Planctomycetota. The record is from RNAcentral.
AGCGGAAUGGAGAAGAGGUAUCUCGCGGGUCUCAUACGCCCGAGUCCCUGGUUCGAUUCCAGGUUCCGCUA